UGGGGAAUAUUGGACAAUGGGGGGAACCCUGAUCCAGCCAUGCCGCGUGUGUGAAGAAGGCCUUAUGGUUGUAAAGCACUUUAAGCGAGGAGGAGGGUACUGGUAUUAAUACUACCAGCUACUGGACGUUACUCGCAGAAUAAGCACCGGCUAACUCUGUGCGAGCAGCCGCGGUAAUACAGAGGGUGCGAGCGUUAAUCGGAUUUACUGGGCGUAAAGCGUGCGUAGGCGGCUAAUUGAGUCGGAUGUGAAAUCCCCGAGCUUAACUUGGGAAUUGCAUUCGAUACUGGUUAGCUAGAGUGUGGGAGAGGAUGGUAGAAUUCCAGGUGUAGCGGUGAAAUGCGUAGAGAUCUGGAGGAAUACCGAUGGCGAAGGCAGCCAUCUGGCCUAACACUGACGCUGAGGUACGAAAGCAUGGGGAGCAAACAGG
RNAcentral lists this ribosomal RNA (430 nucleotides) under Pseudomonadota bacterium. Its description in RNAcentral is "Proteobacteria bacterium partial 16S ribosomal RNA". It matches the Rfam family "Bacterial small subunit ribosomal RNA", at positions 355 to 776 of the family's 1533-position model. The record is from RNAcentral. Lineage: Bacteria; Pseudomonadati; Pseudomonadota.